RNAcentral lists this ribosomal RNA (434 nucleotides) under uncultured Clostridiales Family XIV bacterium. Its description in RNAcentral is "bacterial SSU rRNA". It matches the Rfam family "Bacterial small subunit ribosomal RNA", at positions 341 to 792 of the family's 1533-position model. Lineage: Bacteria; Bacillati; Bacillota; Clostridia; Eubacteriales; Clostridiales Family XIV. Incertae Sedis. The record is from RNAcentral.
ACGGAAGGCAGCAGUGGGGAAUAUUGCACAAUGGGGGAAACCCUGAUGCAGCGACGCCGCGUGAGUGAAGAAGUUAUUCGUAAUGUAAAGCUCUAUCAGCAGGGAAGAAAAUGACGGUACCUGACUAAGAAGCCCCGGCUAACUACGUGCCAGCAGCCGCGGUAAUACGUAGGGGGCAAGCGUUAUCCGGAUUUACUGGGUGUAAAGGGAGCGUAGACGGUAUGGCAAGUCUGAAGUGAAAGCCCGAGGCUCAACCUCGGGAUUGCUUUGGAAACUGUCGUACUAGAGUGCAGGAGAGGUAAGCGGAAUUCCUAGUGUAGCGGUGAAAUGCGUAGAUAUUAGGAGGAACACCAGUGGCGAAGGCGGCUUACUGGACUGUAACUGACGUUGAGGCUCGAAAGCGUGGGGAGCAAACAGGAUUAGAUACCCUGGUA